Long non-coding RNA from Brassica napus (rape), 2342 nucleotides. RefSeq lists it as uncharacterized. The record is from RefSeq and is a predicted model, not a curated record. The transcript has 5 exons. NCBI's taxonomy places the organism in Eukaryota, Viridiplantae, Streptophyta, Magnoliopsida, Brassicales, Brassicaceae.
UACAGGGUAUUGAACAAUUCCUCACUUCCUCGGCUCGCCUUCAGAUCUCCCCUCACCUCCGUUGGUUACAGAGAAGCAGCAAUUCCAGGAGCGUUUCGACUUUGCCAACUCAUCCUCUCGGGAGCAAUCGAGUUUUGACGAGUUUUGUACGAUUUGGUGAAGGUUGGAGCUUGUUUACAGAAGAUCCAGAAUUCAUCAAGAACAUCCCCUGUUCGUCUUUAAGUUUCAGAUUACACAUAAUUCACCAAGAACAGGUUGCUAGUUUCUAAGUCUUCCGGCAUUGAUCAUGAUGGAAGUAUCGAAGAAGAACACAGUUGUAUUCACUAACUGAUUAUGCUGGUGGUUUGAAAGCUGGAAGUAGGAUUGAAUUCAAGGAAAGCUAGUUUUAGGAAAAUCAGUUGUAACAGUUGUACCAAACGCAGUGAACAAGUCCUCAUCGAAGGAAGACGACACUUUGGAAAAGAAGAAGGCUUUCUUCUUGCUCUUCUAGCAAUAAGGAAGACGAGGAGGAUGUAAACGUCGAUUUGACAGAACAGAAGAAAGCCAAUGUCGUUUAUUCCAUUUGAAUCCAUGACCUCAAAACUUUCUAGAUGUUCUCUUUUUUUUUGAAUAAAAGUUUAGAAUGUACAUGUCUCUUUAAAUAUAUAUUGAAUCUUCGUUUAUAGAUUAAGCUCAAGGAGAACUAGGGUUCUUAAAUAUCAAAACGAAAACAGCCAUUACAAAGCCAAGAAACAGAAAAUAAAGUAAUGCAAAAUCGAGUAUUUCUUAAACUAAGGUUAUUUUUUUGUCAUCUCUAAACCCUAAACCCCAAAACUAAACAUAUUUUUAAACUCUACACAUUAACAUAAAAACUUCAAUCUUUUCAUAAUAAUAUUAAACUUAAACUAAAAUUUUUUCUAAGAAAAUCUAAUAUGAAAUUUAAAUUCUAAACCUCACACACAAAAUCCUAAAUCUACGCCCUAUAUCUAAUACCCUAAACCCCAAACUUAAACCCUACUUACAAAAUCAUAAAUCUAAUCUUUUCAAACCUAUGAUAUAUACUUAAAAUUUAACUUUAAGUAUAUUCUAAAACUCAAGCCAUAUAUUUUAAUUCUAAAUCUUAACCCUAAACCUUAAACAACAUACCUCAUAUUAACAUAUAUCAUAAAACAAUAAGUCUUAGCUUUAAAUAAAUUAUAAUUCCUUUAAGACAUUUAUGCUAUUCUGAACUAUAUACAACUUUUAUAUCUUAAUUCCUAUAAGAUACAUAUAUUACUCCAAACUAUAUACUCUAAAUUUUAACACUAUUUAUCUUAACCCUAAAUACUAUUUUAAACUACACAUAAAACUUAAUCUUAAUACCCUAAAACGAAAACUCAAACCCUGCAUACACGACCAUAAAUUCAUCUUUUUUAUUUAAUUGGUUACAUUUUUAAAAUAUUUAAACACUAAAUUUUAAAUAUAAUGUAAAAAGUAAAUUAUUUCAUUGGUUUCUCUUAAAAAUAUUCUCACCAACACUCACCAAAUUCUUCUUCUCCUUCCCGCCGCACAUCUUGACCAAAACUAAGACACUAAAUAAAAAUAUUUAAGCUAUAACUAAAACAUUUAUUUGUGUCCUUAUUGGUCAAAAAGAAAAUAUAUGGAUCACUAUCAGUAACCGUUGAUGCAAUUGCAUCCAAUGGUUACAGUUUUUUUCAAUAUCUUUUUGUUUUUCUGUUUUAAUUUUCUUUCUCAUCUCUUUCGUUUUCUCUUCUCUCUUCCUUCUACGGCAGAUCUCCAUCUUCUCUUCUUGUAUCGUACUCUUUGUUUUUCUCUUUUCCUUAUUUUUUUUUCCCAAAAAUCUCAUCUCUUCUCUUUCUCUUCGAUCUGUUCAAUAUUCUCUUGGAUCUAUGAACCGCCUCCGAUCAAAUACAUACCAAGAUCUAUCGCGGCAUAAGUUUGCAUUACCAGGUUAAAGUGUCAGAGGUGAAUCUCGGUAUGGCUCCACCAAGUCACCUCCUAGAUUCUGAGAUACCCCAAAAGCCUAAAUCAGAAACAGGCUUGAGAGGCGAUGGAGAAACUCCGGUAUCGAGCAGACGAGGCGACAGAGAAACUAUGAUGUAUGUAGCAGACGGCACGAUAGAAGUCAACUUCGGUGACUAGGUGAUGCGACGACAACACUCUGAAGGCGGAUGCUCUGGAGGCUGGAGGCUAGAGACGGUGGAUUAGGGUUGCAGGCGGAGGCUUAGUUUAUUUUUAGGUUAAUUAUGUUUUGGCUAAUUAUGUUUUGUUUUAAUGUUUUAAUCUGUUUUUUUGUUUAAUGUGUUCUUUAAUUAUUUGUAUACUGAUUUUAAUUAAUAGAUAAAAUAAAUUUUAAUUACGAA